This 414-nucleotide ribosomal RNA is filed under the name uncultured bacterium. Its description in RNAcentral is "bacterial SSU rRNA". It matches the Rfam family "Bacterial small subunit ribosomal RNA", at positions 503 to 916 of the family's 1533-position model. The record is from RNAcentral.
GAGUGCCAGCAGCCGCCGUAAUACGGAGGGGGCAAGCGUUGUUCGGAUUUACUGGGCGUAAAGGGCUCGUAGGCGGCCGCUUGUGUCGGUUGUGAAAUCCCUCGGCUCAACCGAGGAACUGCGACCGAAACUGAGCGGCUUGAAGCCGGGAGAGGGAUGCGGAAUUUCAGGUGUAGCGGUGAAAUGCGUAGAUAUCUGAAGGAACACCCGUGGGAAGGCGGCAUCCUGGACCGGUCUUGACGCUGAGGAGCGAAAGCUAGGGUAGCAAACGGGAUUAGAUACCCCGGUAGUCCUAGCCCUAAACGAUAAAUGCUUGGUGUGGCGGGUAUCGAUCCCUGCCGUGCCGGAGCUAACGCGUUAAGCAUUCCGCCUGGGGAGUACGGUCGCAAGGCUGAAACUUAAAUAAAUUGGCGG